Paramuricea clavata is the source of this 115-nucleotide non-coding RNA. NCBI's taxonomy places the organism in Eukaryota, Metazoa, Cnidaria, Anthozoa, Malacalcyonacea, Plexauridae. The record is from the annotation of a GenBank genome assembly.
UACUAGUAAGCUUAAGCAAGUGACGUUUUUGACAACACGAGCGGCAGUAACGUCAGAAGAUGGGGUCAAGGGCGUCCGUGUUGUCAAAAACGUCACUUACUUAAGCUCACUAAUA